This is a transfer RNA of Prevotella sp. CAG:1092, 74 nucleotides long. It matches the Rfam family "tRNA". Rfam says of the family: Transfer RNA (tRNA) molecules are approximately 80 nucleotides in length. Their secondary structure includes four short double-helical elements and three loops (D, anti-codon, and T loops). Further hydrogen bonds mediate the characteristic L-shaped molecular structure. tRNAs have two regions of fundamental functional importance: the anti-codon, which is responsible for specific mRNA codon recognition, and the 3' end, to which the tRNAs corresponding amino acid is attached (by aminoacyl-tRNA synthetases). tRNAs cope with the degeneracy of the genetic code in two manners: having more than one tRNA (with a specific anti-codon) for a particular amino acid; and 'wobble' base-pairing, i.e. permitting non-standard base-pairing at the 3rd anti-codon position. Lineage: Bacteria; Pseudomonadati; Bacteroidota; Bacteroidia; Bacteroidales; Prevotellaceae. The record is from Rfam.
GUCGACGUAGCUCAGCCGGAUAGAGCAUGCGCCUUCUAAGCGCACGGUCGGGGGUUCGAAUCCCUCCGUCGACG